UACGAAGGGGGCUAGCGUUGCUCGGAAUUACUGGGCGUAAAGCGUGCGCAGGCGGUUGUGCAAGACAGAUGUGAAAUCCCCGGGCUCAACCUGGGAACUGCAUUUGUGACUGCACGGCUAGAGUGUGUCAGAGGGGGGUAGAAUUCCACGUGUAGCAGUGAAAUGCGUAGAUAUGUGGAGGAAUACCGAUGGCGAAGGCAGCCCCCUGGGAUAACACUGACGCUCAUGCACGAAAGCGUGGGGAGCAAACAGG
This 253-nucleotide ribosomal RNA is filed under the name uncultured bacterium. RNAcentral describes it as "partial 16S ribosomal RNA". It matches the Rfam family "Bacterial small subunit ribosomal RNA", at positions 524 to 776 of the family's 1533-position model. The record is from RNAcentral.